UAAAAUUGAAUUGGUUACCUUGGUCUGAAAGUUUGGCUACCAACUGCACUAUAAAAAAACUGCAGGUGUGGAUGUGAAUUAGUUACUUUGGUAUGAAGGUUUUGUUACCUUGGUACGAAGAUUUGCUUACCUUGAUUUGAAGGUUUGGUAACCAACUUUACUAAGAAGAAAUUUGAAGGUUUGAUAACUAAAAAGGGUCCUUUACAUAAGUAUACAAUAAAUAUAAAAUAAUUACAAGAAAAGUGCAUCAACUAAAUAAUUACAAAAAGAGUGUAAUUAGGACUCAUAGUACAAAAAUAGUACAAUUCACAUUAAUAAAGAAACCUAAAAUCAAGGAUAACUAAUAAUUCAAAUUCAAAUCUUGUCUCUAACAACAAUUUCAAAUCCAUAUUUCAAAAUUCAAAUCAAAAUGAGAAAAUUAAAAAUAAAAAAUUAUGAAGGAGCUAAUGUUCAUCAUCCUCCUCUCUCGCCGCCACCGCUGCUGCCGCCACAUCGCCGCCGCCACCGGAGUUGCUAUUCUGAAUUUCUUUUAACGAUUUGGUUACCCACAAAAAUUGAAAUGGUUACCUUUAUACGAAUUUUGACUAGUAACUGCAUCACAUUUAAAAUAAAAUUGAUAAUCAAAUAAAACUGAAUUAGUUACCUUAUCUAAUGGUUUGGUAACCAACUAUAUGAAAUUUGGUUACCAACUGCAUCACAUCCAAAAUAAAUUAGUAACCUAAUAAAACUAAAUUGGUUACCUUAUCGGAAGGUUUAGUAACCAACUGCAUAAAUUUUGGUUACCAACUGCAUCACAUUCAAAAUAUAUUAGUAAGCUAAUAAAACUGAAUUGGUUACCUUAUCAAAUGAUUUGGUAACCAACUACAUGAAGUUUGAUUACCAACUGUAUCACAUCCAAAAUAAAUUAGUAACCUAAUAAAACUGAAUUGGUUACCUUAUCGGAAG
RNAcentral lists this long non-coding RNA (945 nucleotides) under Panax ginseng (ginseng). RNAcentral describes it as "long non-coding RNA (PGIN_LNC017491)". The record is from RNAcentral. Lineage: Eukaryota; Viridiplantae; Streptophyta; Magnoliopsida; Apiales; Araliaceae.